RNAcentral lists this ribosomal RNA (278 nucleotides) under uncultured Novosphingobium sp. RNAcentral describes it as "partial 16S ribosomal RNA". It matches the Rfam family "Bacterial small subunit ribosomal RNA", at positions 29 to 334 of the family's 1533-position model. Lineage: Bacteria; Pseudomonadati; Pseudomonadota; Alphaproteobacteria; Sphingomonadales; Sphingomonadaceae. The record is from RNAcentral.
AACGAACGCUGGCGGCAUGCCUAACGCAUGCAAGUCGAACGAGCCCUUCGGGGUUAGUGGCGCACGGGUGCGUAACGCGUGGGAAUCUGCCCUUCGGUUGGGAAUAACACAGAGAAAUUUGUGCUAAUACCUUAUAAUGUCUUCGGACCAAAGAUUUAUCGCCGAGGGAUGAGCCCGCGUAAGAUUAGGUAGUUGGUGGGGUAAUGGCCUACCAAGCCGACGAUCUUUAGCUGGUCUGAGAGGAUGAUCAGCCACACUGGGACUGAGACACGGCCCAG